UGCGGAAUAGAGCAGUUGGUUAGCUCGUUGGGCUUGUCCCCAAAGAUCAGUGGUUCAAAUCCACUUUCUGCCACCA
RNAcentral lists this transfer RNA (76 nucleotides) under Nostoc sp. PCC 7107. Its description in RNAcentral is "tRNA-OTHER". It matches the Rfam family "tRNA". Rfam says of the family: Transfer RNA (tRNA) molecules are approximately 80 nucleotides in length. Their secondary structure includes four short double-helical elements and three loops (D, anti-codon, and T loops). Lineage: Bacteria; Bacillati; Cyanobacteriota; Cyanophyceae; Nostocales; Nostocaceae. The record is from RNAcentral.